Homo sapiens (human) is the source of this 1271-nucleotide long non-coding RNA. The record is from Ensembl. NCBI's taxonomy places the organism in Eukaryota, Metazoa, Chordata, Mammalia, Primates, Hominidae.
GAGUGAGGGAAGAUGACUCUAACUCCCCUUGGCCUCUUAGAGCAGAGACAUCAGAAAAGGCCACCAGUGAAAAGAAUGUAAGGUCACAUAGCCUGUACCAUUUCAGGGAGGCAUUGUCUAACCUGGAGAUUGACUGGGGCAGCCCUGAAGAAACAGUUCAGGAUUAGAGAAGGUUCAGGUGCUUAGAAUAUUCCUGAAAGUCUGUCCCAGAGCAGCCUGAUACAGGCACAUGAUUGAUUCAUCUCCGGGUAGCUGCUCUGUGUUGUAUGCCACAAAGAAAUACAGAUGAAAAUCCUAGCAGAUGGACAAAGAAGAAUUGAGCAUUCAGGAAAAGCUUAAAUGGUGAUCCUCUUGGGAUAUAAGAAGCUGGACACAUUGCGCAUUAUAGAUAGGUGUGAUAAAAAUCACAGCAUACACCUGUGAACUUUGAAUUAACCAGGAAGCUAAUACACGUUCUUGCACUGAUAAAUUUCUGAGCUAAGAUAAUUAGCAAGAAGGGACAAAGAGACAACUAGAAAUGCCACUCUAAGAUUUCACUGAGUGAAAAAAGAUUCCUUCCUUAAAUCUUACAAGAAAAAUACAGUUUUGAUUAAAAUUAAGCCAUGAGCCUUUUUGAAAUAAUAAUAUUGUCGACCCCCAGUUGUAUGUGCCCAAGGAGAUGGCAAACUUGAGAAACAAGAAUAAUCCUUUCAGCUGGUUUAAAGCUGAGCCCUCACUCUUGGAAUUAAGAAACUGACAAAGGAUGCAAGUUCUUGGUUUAAGGAGCCAAUGGUGUGGUUCCCAGGGACCCUCCCAAAUACACUUCCAAUCUGUUUCUGGAGGACCUGACCUGUAACUCCUGACAAUAUGUUCUGAAUGCUGAAGGAUGGAGAUACACUUUGGACCAAUGGACUCAAGCCCCUCAUUCAAAGAAAACACCAGAAGAGACUUGGUGUUUUGUGAAAUGGCACAUUCCAAAAUCUCUGUCACUGAGAAAAGGAUGUAAGCUCAGGAUCAAAGCAUCGUCUUCAAAGAAGGAGAAAGUGGAAAACCAUUGAGUACUCUGUUUAAGAACACCUUCAUGGAUUUGAUGGAGACAAGGGAGGAAUGUGUUUUGCUGUUUUGGAUUUCAAGAAAUGAAACAGAAACAAGAGCUGGUUUCUUGAUAACUUUGUUCUUCUACGCUAUGGUCUGUAGAAUGAUACAGUUUCUAGUUUAAUUGGUCUGUGACCUGCAGACCCCUGUGUAAGACUCUUCCAGCUUUGAACAUACCAAAGAAAAUUUUAAAAGAA